RNAcentral lists this unclassified non-coding RNA (355 nucleotides) under soil metagenome. Its description in RNAcentral is "partial contains 5.8S ribosomal RNA, internal transcribed spacer 2, and large subunit ribosomal RNA". The stretch from base 1 to 120 matches the Rfam family "5.8S ribosomal RNA", at positions 35 to 154 of the family's 154-position model. The record is from RNAcentral.
GAUGAAGAACGUAGCGAAAUGCGAUAAGUAAUGUGAAUUGCAGAAUUCAGUGAAUCAUCGAAUCUUUGAACGCACAUUGCGCCCAUUAGUAUUCUAGUGGGCAUGCCUGUUCGAGCGUCAUUAAGUCCACUUAAGCCCUGCUUAGUGUUGGGAGACUGCUCCAGCGGUGCUACCCUGUAGCUACCCUGCAGCUCCUCAAAGACAGCGGCGGAGUUGUGGUAUCCUCUGAGCUUAGUAACUUGUUCUAGCUUUCGAGUACACCACUUCCCCUGCCGUAAAACCCUUAAUUUUUAAUGGUUGACCUCGGAUCAGGUAGGAACACCCGCUGAACUUAAGCAUAUCAAUAAGCGGAGGA